RNAcentral lists this non-coding RNA (45 nucleotides) under Schistosoma mattheei. The record is from RNAcentral. Lineage: Eukaryota; Metazoa; Platyhelminthes; Trematoda; Strigeidida; Schistosomatidae.
GACUGCUGAGGAGUCCCACAAUAGGACGAAACGGCCGUCCACCGC